RNAcentral lists this ribosomal RNA (861 nucleotides) under uncultured archaeon. RNAcentral's name for it is "bacterial SSU rRNA". It matches the Rfam family "Archaeal small subunit ribosomal RNA", at positions 26 to 893 of the family's 1478-position model. The record is from RNAcentral.
ACUGCUAUCGGAUUGAUACUAAGCCAUGCGAGUCUUUGUAGCAAUACAAGGCAGACGGCUUAGUAACACGUAGUCAAUCUACCCUAUGGACGGGGAUAACCUCGGGAAACUGAGAAUAAUACCCGAUAGAUCAUUAUACCUGGAAUGGUUUAUGGUCGAAAUGAUUUAUCGCCGUAGGAUGGGACUGCGGUCUAUCAGCUUGUUGGUGAGGUAAUGGCCCACCAAGGCUAUAACAGAUACGGGCUCUGAGAGGAGAAGCCCGGAGAUGGGUACUGAGACACGGACCCAGGCCCUAUGGGGCGCAGCAGGCGAGAAAACUUUGCAAUGUGCGAAAGCACGACAAGGUUAAUCCGAGUGUUUUCUGCUAAAGAAAUCUUUUGUCAGUCCUAAAAACACUGAUGAAUAAGGGGUGGGCAAGUUCUGGUGUCAGCCGCCGCGGUAAAACCAGCACCUCAAGUGGUCAGGAGGAUUAUUGGGCCUAAAGCAUCCGUAGCCGGCCGUGUAAGUUUUCGGUUAAAUCUAUACGCUCAACGUAUAGGCUGCCGGGAAUACUGCACAGCUAGGGAGUGGGAGAGGUAGACGGUACUCGGUAGGAAGGGGUAAAAUCUUUUGAUCUAUUGAUGACCACCUGUGGCGCAGGCGGUCUACUAGAACACGUCCGACGGUGAGGGAUGAAAGCUGGGGGAGCAAACCGGAUUAGAUACCCGGGUAGUCCCAGCUGUAAACAAUGCAAACUCAGUGAUGCACUGGCUUGUGGCCAGUGCAGUGCCGCAGGGAAGCCGUUAAGUUUGCCGCCUGGGAAGUACGUACGCAAGUAUGAAACUUAAAGGAAUUGGCGGGGGAGCACCACAAGGGGUGAAG